UAUGAGCAGGCGCUAAACCUGGUUUAGGUAUUUAGGCAGCGCGCGGCCCGGCUCGUAACUCCUCCUGCUGCAGCAGGCGUAUCGUUGGCCUCGCCUCGACCCCGGAAGUGACUUCUGGAAGUGACCCAGGAAGUGACAUACUCUGAGCAGCUACAAAAAGAAGACCAGUCUAUCCUGCUGGAGACAGUGGCCACGUGAAGAAAGAGCUCUUGCAGUAUGAAAGACCACAUGGAAAGAGAGGCCACAUGGAACCAACAGUCAGCAUCUUGGUUUCGGACACGUGAAGAAAUUCAUCUCAGACUGUGUAUCCUAAAUCAGGCACUUGCUGAAUCUAACUACAUGAGUGAGACCAGUUGACAACACAUGGAGCAGACAUGAGCUGUUCUCAGUGAGUCCUACACAAAUUCCUGACUCACAACACUGUGAGCAAUAAAAUGGUUGUUAUUUUAAGC
RNAcentral lists this long non-coding RNA (452 nucleotides) under Homo sapiens (human). RNAcentral's name for it is "HSALNT0298484". The record is from RNAcentral. Lineage: Eukaryota; Metazoa; Chordata; Mammalia; Primates; Hominidae.